GAUGAACGCUGGCGGCGUGCCUAAUACAUGCAAGUCGAGCGAACAGAUGAGGAGCUUGCUCCUCUGACGUUAGCGGCGGACGGGUGAGUAACACGUGGAUAACCUACCUAUAAGACUGGGAUAACUUCGGGAAACCGGAGCUAAUACCGGAUAAUAUAUUGAACCGCAUGGUUCAAUAGUGAAAGACGGUUUUGCUGUCACUUAUAGAUGGAUCCGCGCCGCAUUAGCUGUUGGUAAGGUAACGGCUUACCAAGGCAACGAUGCGUAGCCGACCUGAGAGGGUGAUCGGCCACACUGGAACUGAGACACGGUCCAGACUCCUACGGGAGGCAGCAGUAGGGAAUCUUCCGCAAUGGGCGAAAGCUUGACGAAGCAACGCCGCGUGAGUGAUGAAGGUCUUCGGAUCGUAAAACUCUGUUAUUAGGGAAGAACAAAUGUGUAAGUAACUAUGCACGUCUUGACGGUACCUAAUCAGAAAGCCACGGCUAACUACGUG
This 496-nucleotide ribosomal RNA is filed under the name uncultured bacterium. RNAcentral describes it as "partial 16S ribosomal RNA". It matches the Rfam family "Bacterial small subunit ribosomal RNA", at positions 28 to 507 of the family's 1533-position model. The record is from RNAcentral.